Molecule: small nuclear RNA, 101 nt
Filed under: Zalophus californianus (California sea lion)
Lineage: Eukaryota; Metazoa; Chordata; Mammalia; Carnivora; Otariidae
Also listed under: 1 other name
Source: RNAcentral
AUGCUUCAGCAGCACAUAACACUAAAACUGGAAUGGCACAGAGAUUAGCAUGGCCCCUGCACAAGGAUGACACAAAAAAUGUUUCCAGAGAGAACAUCUUC